RNAcentral lists this ribosomal RNA (288 nucleotides) under uncultured Bacteroidota bacterium. RNAcentral describes it as "uncultured Bacteroidetes bacterium partial 16S ribosomal RNA". It matches the Rfam family "Bacterial small subunit ribosomal RNA", at positions 1178 to 1472 of the family's 1533-position model. Lineage: Bacteria; Pseudomonadati; Bacteroidota. The record is from RNAcentral.
GAUGAAGUCAAAUACAGCACGGCCCUUACGUCCGGGGCGACACACGUGUUACAAUGGGGGGUACAGAGGGUUGCUACCUAGUGAUAGGAUGCUAAUCUCAUAAAGCCUCUCUCAGUUCGGAUUGGAGUCUGCAACUCGACUCCAUGAAGCUGGAUUCGCUAGUAAUCGCGCAUCAGCCAUGGCGCGGUGAAUACGUUCCCGGGCCUUGUACACGCCGCCCGUCAAACCAUGGGAGUUUGGGGUACCUAAAGUCCGUGACCGCGAGGGACGGCCUAGGGUAAAUCAGAU